This 1148-nucleotide long non-coding RNA is filed under the name Homo sapiens (human). RNAcentral describes it as "HSALNT0062956". The record is from RNAcentral. Lineage: Eukaryota; Metazoa; Chordata; Mammalia; Primates; Hominidae.
GGCCUUGCGCCGGCCGGGGAGCUUUUCGCCAAGGCUCCUGUGGGAUGGGAUAGCUUGUUCUCUGGGCUGCAGGAACCAAAACAUUAGACCACCCUUUCUGUGACCUUGGGCAUGCCGCCCUCGGUUCCGAGCCGCAAGUCUUUCUUUCGGGGAAAAUGAAAAGGGGUCAAGAUUUGGACCAGAUGACACCCAAUGUCCCAUUCAACGGUCGCAUUCUGUCAUCCACAGGAAUUAGUCCUGUAUCCGAAACAUUCUCUGGUAGUCAAAAGCUGUGAGCAAAUAAUAAGAAAAAAUGUGCAAAACGUUUUUUAGUACAGUUAGCAAAUAGUGUACUCAGUUGUUGAAGGAAAUGGGAUGAAGCCUAUCAGAUUUCAACAAACUUAUUUACCUCUUGAGAAAGCUGCUCUCUUUUCGGUUGUCCUUCUGUGUCUCUCUUUCAAAGAUCAAGUCUCACUGCGAUGCUGAUAUGUUUUUAACACUUCUCCAGCAUUUCUUAACCUAACAGCAGGUUUCAGGCACAGGCCUGCAGCAAGCAGCCAUAUCCAACUAAAAUUCCACUACUAUAUGUUUUUAUUUGCAUUACAUUUAUCAGGGAGCUUUCUAUUUAUGGCAAGGAAACUGAUUUUAAAUUUAAAUCAGUGAUAUACAUCAAGAGCUAGAUUUUGCAUUUUUAAGUGAAAAAGUAAGCUAUCAAAUAGAACAGGUGGAAUUUGGAUAUGGUGGGGCGGAGGGGUAGGCAGAGCAGGGGAGAGGAACAUCGUGAUAGUGGUACUCAAAUUACUAAGUUUUAGAAAACACUAUCACGGGGCCUUUCAGGAGCCUGGAGACAGAUGGAGGGGAAGACAGAAGAGAGAUUAAGGAGAAGAAUGGUUUCAUUUGGAAGGACACUGACUAAGGAAAAACAGAGAAAAGGAUGAAACCCAAGCCAACUCUGCAACUCUAUUAAAAACACCAAGACUUCAAUAUAAUCUCCUUAAAGGGAGGCAGUGCAUUCUUCAUGGCUAGAGCUUCAGCAGCUAUCUAGAACCAUAUGGUGGAAGCCACUUACUGAGAACUGUGAAACAAGAGCCUGGGUCCCUGACAUAUGAAGCCACCAUACCUACCUUAAAGUGUCUUUCACUUGAGGGAAAAAUACAUCUUUCUUAGGU